AAGUCGUAACAAGGUUUCCGUAGGUGAACCUGCGGAAGGAUCAUUACCGACGACGGGUUCUUCGGAACCCAUCUCCCACCCGAUGUAUACGUACCGCGUCGUUUCGGCGGACGCUGUGCGCCGCGCCCGCGGGCCGGUGCCGUCCCCGCCCGCCGAAAUCUCCCAUCAUCCCGUCGUAUUUGUGUUGUCCGAAUAUCCAAUCAAUGGCAUAAAACUUUCAACAACGGAUCUCUUGGUUCCGGCAUCGAUGAAGAACGCAGCGAAAUGCGAUAAGUAAUGUGAAUUGCAGAAUUCAGUGAAUCAUCGAAUCUUUGAACGCACAUUGCGCCCCCUGGCAUUCCGGGGGGCAUGCCUGUUCGAGCGUCAUUGCAUCCCUCAAGCCUCGCUUGGUCUUGGAUGGUCGUCCGCGUGCGGACGCCUCCGAAAGUCAGCGGCGGUGCGGUCGAUCCUCAAGCGUAGUCAGACCAUGUCAUUCGCUUCGACGGUGUCGGCCGGGCCGGCCGAACAACCCCCAUCGCUCCCAUCACGAUUGACCUCGGAUCAGGUAGGGAUACCCGCUGAACUUAAGCAUAUCAAUAAGCGGAGGAAAAGAAACCAACAGGGAUUGCCUCAGUAACGGCGAGUGAAGCGGCAACAGCUCAAAUUUGAAAUCUGGCCUCGCGGUCCGAGUUGUAAUUUGCAGAGGGUGUCUCGGGCGCGCGAUCGGUGUAAGUUCCUUGGAACAGGGCGUCAUAGAGGGUGAGAAUCCCGUACGUGACCGAUCGGCAACCCCGUGUGAGGCCCCUUCGACGAGUCGAGUUGUUUGGGAAUGCAGCUCUAAAUGGGUGGUAAAUUUCAUCUAAAGCUAAAUACUGGCCGGAGACCGAUAGCGCACAAGUAGAGUGAUCGAAAGAUGAAAAGCACUUUGGAAAGAGAGUCAAACAGUACGUGAAAUUGUUGAAAGGGAAGCGCUUGCGACCAGACUUGCUCGCGGCCGAUCAUCCGCCCCUCGGGACGGUGCACUCGACCGCGAUCAGGCCAGCAUCGGUUUCGGCGGCCGGACAAAGGGCCCGGGAACGUGGCUUCCCUCGGGAAGCGUUAUAGCCCGGGCCGCCAUGCGGCCAGCCGGGACCGAGGACCGCGCUUCGGCUAGGAUGCUGGCGUAAUGGUCGUCAGCGACC
RNAcentral lists this ribosomal RNA (1160 nucleotides) under uncultured fungus. Its description in RNAcentral is "eukaryotic LSU rRNA". The stretch from base 531 to 1160 matches the Rfam family "Eukaryotic large subunit ribosomal RNA", at positions 1 to 649 of the family's 3401-position model. Lineage: Eukaryota; Fungi. The record is from RNAcentral.